AAACCCGCUCCUCAGCUCGUGAAUAGUCAACGAGGCCUUUCUGGGCGGGACCAGAGGUUUCCUCAUGAAUAAUUCAUGACCCGUUCACGGCUGGCCGGGGCGACCGGCCUCGCUAGACUUCAUGAAUAUGCAAAGCAGGGGCGAGCGGCGGCUAGCCGGCCCCUAGCCCGCCCGGCCCCUCAGCAGCCGCCUCUCAGCCACUGGCUGCACACUGACCCGACGCGACCUUCUCUCGGGGGCCGCCAGCCUGGGCCACCUGUACAACGACAGCCUGCUCCGGGGCUUCCUGAGGAGGUGCCUGCCCGCCGAGGUUCAACAGCUUCGGAGAGCAGGACAUCUUUUCCUCUCAGCCUGGCCCUCUGCAAUAGAGGCCAUAAACAGGCCAGUAGUGAAAGCUACAGGACAUGUGAGCAUGGCAGGGGCUGAGCUCCAUUUUAAGGCUUGUAAGGACCCUUGUGAUUACAUUGGUCCUACCCAGAUUACCUAGGAUAAUCUCCCAUCUCAAAGUCCUCAUCUUAAUCCCAUCUGCAAGGUCCCUUUUGCAAUUUAAGAUAACAUAUUCAACAGGUUCCAGGAAUGAGAAUGUGGACAUCUUUGGAGAGCCAUUAUUCUGCCUACCACAGAUAGAACCUGGCCGUUACUACCAAGGGUUGGAAUGAGGAUCAUUCUGGGACUGCUGCAAGAGGCUGGAAACUGGAACCAAGUGCUACUUUCAUGGUAACAAGC
This 726-nucleotide non-coding RNA is filed under the name Pongo abelii (Sumatran orangutan). Lineage: Eukaryota; Metazoa; Chordata; Mammalia; Primates; Hominidae. The record is from RNAcentral.